GUGCUCAUUUUAGCAGCACAUAUACUAAAAUUGAAAUGACACAGAAAUUAGCAUGGCCCUUGCACAAGGAUGACACUCAAAUUCAUGAAGCAUUCCGUAUUAUU
This is a small nuclear RNA of Microtus ochrogaster (prairie vole), 104 nucleotides long. NCBI's taxonomy places the organism in Eukaryota, Metazoa, Chordata, Mammalia, Rodentia, Cricetidae. The record is from Ensembl.